Non-coding RNA from Acanthosepion pharaonis, 114 nucleotides. NCBI's taxonomy places the organism in Eukaryota, Metazoa, Mollusca, Cephalopoda, Sepiida, Sepiidae. The record is from the annotation of a GenBank genome assembly.
UUACAGCCAUAUCAUGUUGAAACAACAGUUCUUGUAUGAUCAUCGGAGUUAAGCAACAUCAUACCUGGUCAGUACCUAAAUGGGUGACCACUUGGGAAUACCAAGUGCUGUAAG